Long non-coding RNA from Herpailurus yagouaroundi (jaguarundi), 277 nucleotides. RefSeq lists it as uncharacterized. The transcript has 3 exons. The record is from RefSeq and is a predicted model, not a curated record. NCBI's taxonomy places the organism in Eukaryota, Metazoa, Chordata, Mammalia, Carnivora, Felidae.
UCUCAUAAAUCCUACUUGCCUAUUAAGAUUCAGCUCAAGUGCUACCUUCUCCAGGAAGCCUGUCCAGUUUGGUAUGCUUUUCCUUCUUAAUCUGCCCCCUCUCUAGAAUUCCUACUGCCUUUUAAGACUCAGCUAAGGUACCACCUCUCCAAGAAACAUUUCCAAUUUGGCCAUAACACUGUUCACUUACCUCUACCACACAUUUAAUAUACAGGUUUAAAAUCAUUUAUUUAAUAUGGGGCGCCUGGGUGGCUCAUUCGGUUAAGCAUCCAACUUC